This 486-nucleotide ribosomal RNA is filed under the name Triticum aestivum (bread wheat). RNAcentral's name for it is "partial small subunit ribosomal RNA". Lineage: Eukaryota; Viridiplantae; Streptophyta; Magnoliopsida; Poales; Poaceae. The record is from RNAcentral.
AUGCAUGUUAAGUACACUAGCCUCGGAAUAACACCUGGGGUGCUAUCAUCAGCCGAGACGACUGAUGAUUCAGUCAGCGACAUUGGCAGCAAGGCAAGCCUGCUGCUCUUGUUGAGCUGCUCAGCGAGGACGCCGUCGUCGGUGAACUCCAACCACCUGAUGCUUCCCUCCGAGGAGCACCCAGCCGACGGCGGGAGGUGGAUGGAGGCUCAGAGGGUGAGGAACGUCCUCCUGAAACUGCUACAGCUGAUGGAUCAAAGGUGCAACCGGUGCUUCGACGACAUCCAGACGACGGCUUACAAGUUCAGCAGCAUGGUGGCGUAUCCAGGCGGCGCGCCUCCGCCGCCGCCGUUCGCGCAGCGCGCGCUCCGCGGUGUACCGGAGGCUGAGGAAGCAGACCCUGAUCGUGGCGGUGGCGCAGAAGUCCGGCGGCUCCCUGUGCCUGACAGAUUUAAUUCAAGUGAAGGUGAGUGCGGGUUAAAUUAG